Molecule: ribosomal RNA, 367 nt
Filed under: uncultured bacterium
Lineage: Bacteria
Description: bacterial SSU rRNA
Rfam family: Bacterial small subunit ribosomal RNA
Source: RNAcentral
AACGAACGCUGGCGGCAGGCCUAACACAUGCAAGUUGAACGCCCGUAGCAAUACGGGAGUGGCAGACGGGUGAGUAACGCGUGGGAACGUGCCCUUCGGUUUGGUAAUAACUACAGGGAAACUUGAGCUAAUACCAAAUACGUCCGUAAGGGAAGAGUUUAUCGUCCGAAGGAUCGGCCCGCGUCGGAUUAGCUAGUUGGUGAGGUAACGGCCCACCAAGGCGACGAUCCGUAGCUGGUCUGAGAGGANGAUCAGCCACACUGGGACUGANACACGGCCCAGACUCCUACGGGAGGCGAGCAGUGGGGAAUAUUGGACAAUGGGCGGGAAGGCCUGAUCCAGCCAUGCCGCGUGAGUGAAGAAGGCC